RNAcentral lists this long non-coding RNA (1342 nucleotides) under Salmo salar (Atlantic salmon). RNAcentral describes it as "lncRNA (ENSSSAG00000116791.1)". Lineage: Eukaryota; Metazoa; Chordata; Actinopteri; Salmoniformes; Salmonidae. The record is from RNAcentral.
AAUAACUUCAUUUAAAUGUUUUCCCCCUUUUUAAGCAGGUCUUAGAUGAGGUGUGUGUAGCAGUUGUUGAAACUCCUAUUACACACACACACACACACACACACACACACACACACACACACACACACACACACACACACGACUCGCACACUAACAAAUCACAAAAUCAUUGCUUUACUUUUAAGGAAUAAAACCAGACCAGAAUAUAAGUGAUCUGUUUGAUCUACUUUCCUCCUUUCCAUGGCUGUUCGGGCAUCUAGAUUCCCAGAGACAAGUCUUUCUAGCACCAGAUCCAGCCCUGCUUUUGGCCAAACACUUUUACAUGUGAGUUACGGUCACCAACACAGAGAAGCUGUUAAAGCACUCGGAGAAAAGCUGGCAGUAUAUAAAGUCCAAUUUCCAUAAGCCAGCCCUUAAAUUAGACUUUUGGUGCUGUGUUAAGUGAAACCUGAAGGUGUAUGCCAGGCCGGAGCCAAGCAGCUCAGAAAGAUAUACUGUGACAUCAAAGCUGUUCUUUACACCCUACAAAACCUCACAAAUGUUGAAAAAUCCAAGGAUCUCAGCACUGUAGGAUGGCGCAUAAAAUCUUUUUAUCCCCUUUAGGGUGUGUGUUCUGUGUGUGUGUGUGUGUGUGUGUGUGUGUUCUGUGUAUGUGUGUUCUGAGUGUGUGUGUGUGUUCUGAGUGUAUGUGUGUGUGUGUUCUGUCUCUGUGUGUAUGUUGUGUGUGUGUGUGUGUGUGUGUGUGUUCUGUCUCUGUAUGUGUGUGUGUGUUCUGAGUGUGUGUGUGUGUGUCUCUGCGUGCGUGUGAAGAAAACAGAGUCCCCUUCGCUGGGAUAAUAUCUUGGCUCCAGCUUGUACAUAUUAGAUGAAUGGCUCUGAAAGCCCUCUCUAGGUUACAAGAUUAAUUGCCAGUGUCUUGAACAGGAUUUAUGAAUUAUGACGGUAUUCUUGAAAAGAAUGUGAAAGUUAAUUUGUCAUGAAAUCCAAUCACACGAGAGAAGGCAUGGUGUAGAGGACCGGACCCACAGUGAAUGAAUUCCCUUUGCAUCAGCUGAGUACAUGUAGAGAAAUGUUAACGCAAGUGUCCGAAUACAACAGGUAUUUCACCUUACAGUGAAAUGCUUACUUACAGGCUCUAACCAAUAGUGCAAAAAAGGUAUUAGGUGAACAAUAGGUAAGUAAAGAAAUAAAACGACAGUAAAAAGACAGGCUAUAUACAGUAGCGGGACUAUAAAAGUAGCGAGGCUACAUACAGACACCGGUUAGUCAGGCUGAUUGAGGUAGUAUGUACAUGUAGAUAUGGUUAAAGUGACUAUGAAUAUAUGAUAAACAGAGAGUAGCA